RNAcentral lists this transfer RNA (72 nucleotides) under Nitzschia traheaformis. RNAcentral's name for it is "tRNA-Met". It matches the Rfam family "tRNA". From Rfam's summary of the family: Transfer RNA (tRNA) molecules are approximately 80 nucleotides in length. Their secondary structure includes four short double-helical elements and three loops (D, anti-codon, and T loops). Further hydrogen bonds mediate the characteristic L-shaped molecular structure. tRNAs have two regions of fundamental functional importance: the anti-codon, which is responsible for specific mRNA codon recognition, and the 3' end, to which the tRNAs corresponding amino acid is attached (by aminoacyl-tRNA synthetases). tRNAs cope with the degeneracy of the genetic code in two manners: having more than one tRNA (with a specific anti-codon) for a particular amino acid; and 'wobble' base-pairing, i.e. permitting non-standard base-pairing at the 3rd anti-codon position. Lineage: Eukaryota; Bacillariophyta; Bacillariophyceae; Bacillariales; Bacillariaceae. The record is from RNAcentral.
AGGCCUAUAGUUCAGUGGUAGAACGUACUGCUCAUAACGGUUUUGUCGUAGGUUCGAAUCCUGCUGGGCCUA